Molecule: RNase P RNA, 322 nt
Filed under: Erysipelotrichaceae bacterium
Lineage: Bacteria; Bacillati; Bacillota; Erysipelotrichia; Erysipelotrichales; Erysipelotrichaceae
Description: RNase P RNA component class B
Rfam family: Bacterial RNase P class B
About the family: Ribonuclease P (RNase P) is a ubiquitous endoribonuclease, found in archaea, bacteria and eukarya as well as chloroplasts and mitochondria. Its best characterised activity is the generation of mature 5'-ends of tRNAs by cleaving the 5'-leader elements of precursor-tRNAs.
Source: RNAcentral
ACAUUCAGACAAUCGCUGUGAAAGCAGAGGAAAGUCCAUGCUCGCACAUCCUGCGAUGGAUGUAGUGUUUAUGCCAAGUGAGAAAGUAAGCUUGGGCAGUGCAAACUGACGGCUGGCGAUUUUCCUAAGGGCAACUAUGGAAAUAGCCUGUAAAAGUGUCAAAGAGACGAGUCUGAUGGAAACAUCAGGGUGGAACGUGAUAAACCCCAUAAGCGAGAAACCCAAAAUUUGGUAGGGGAACCAGCAAUAGCGAAAUGAAGCGAUUUGCCGGGCACAUUCGUGCAGAUAAAUGAUUGUCCAAUACAGAACAUGGCUUAUUAAA